Long non-coding RNA from Gopherus flavomarginatus (Mexican gopher tortoise), 969 nucleotides. RefSeq lists it as uncharacterized. The transcript has 3 exons. Lineage: Eukaryota; Metazoa; Chordata; Testudines; Testudinidae. The record is from RefSeq and is a predicted model, not a curated record.
CAGAAGCCAGCCCUAGUUUAUCAGUCUCUCUCUGCUCUGUGUGUGCUGUGCCCAUGAGCUGCCGGUUCUACAAAGAGUUGGAUGCAAUACUUAGUGGUGACCCCACCUCCACUGUGAAGUCCCUUGGGGAUACUUCGUUGGCUUCAUUACCAGUUGAGAGUGGACUGAGCCAGGAGGAGGCAAUCUUGGCUGAAGAGGGGGGGGAGGAAGCUAAGGCAGAGGAUGACUCAGACGCCAGAGAUGCAUGCAGUCAGGAGCUCUUUUCUACGCCAGAGGAGCCUAGCCAGUCACAGCAGUUAGAUCUUGGUGAAGUGCAAACAGGAGAGGAGGCCCCUGAGAUGAUCUUGAGAGGUCGCAGAAUGGCUGCACAGAAUUAGAAAGUGGCCAAGAAGAACUAAGGAGGACUUAAUGCAUGAGGUUAUGAUGCACUCCGCCACCGAGAAAAAGGAAUUGAAGGAGUGGUGGGACAGCGAGAAGAGAGAACGAAAGGAAAAUGCGGCACACCAGAAAGAAGCCACAAAGCAGCUCUUAACAGUUAUGGAGUACCAAGUGGACACUCUCCAGGAGAUACUAGCUCUUUGUCCGAGCAGCUCUGUGUCCGCCCUCUCCUGCAGCUGCUGUUGCAAAACUUUCCCAUGAGCCCCCACACACACUGCCAACACAUGCUUAUCAACCUCCUGGCUCCACUCUCUAUCUGCAGCAUUCCACUCCUCCCUCCUCACAGUCCAGCAGUGUGGACUCCCAAUACCCACAGCACUCAACACUCAUCCCUCUGCAAUUUGGCCCUGCUGAAGUACAGCACCCACUGCAUCCUACUCCAAAGGAGAAGAUUGGGAUCAUACCCCUGGACAUAUACAAAUCUGUAGCUGUCCCAGGACCCCUCUUCCUUUUGAGACCUUCUCUUCCUCCCAUUCCUUCCAUUCUCUCAUCACCCUCCCUGCUGAUGAAUUUUUUCGUUUAACUCUUUCC